CGCGGCCUAUCAGCUUGUUGGUGGGGUAGUGGCUUACCAAGGCUUUGACGGGUAGCCGGCCUGAGAGGGUGACCGGCCACAUUGGGACUGAGAUACGGCCCAGACUCCUACGGGAGGCAGCAGUGGGGAAUAUUGCACAAUGGGCGGAAGCCUGAUGCAGCAACGCCGCGUGCGGGAUGACGGCCUUCGGGUUGUAAACCGCUUUCGCCUGUGACGAAGCGUGAGUGACGGUAAUGGGUAAAGAAGCACCGGCUAACUACGUGCCAGCAGCCGCGGUGAUACGUAGGGUGCGAGCGUUGUCCGGAUUUAUUGGGCGUAAAGGGCUCGUAGGUGGUUGAUCGCGUCGGAAGUGUAAUCUUGGGGCUUAACCCUGAGCGUGCUUUCGAUACGGGUUGACUUGAGGAAGGUAGGGGAGAAUGGAAUUCCUGGUGGAGCGGUGGAAUGCGCAGAUAUCAGGAGGAACACCAGUGGCGAAGGCGGUUCUCUGGGCCUUUCCUGACGCUGAGGAGCGAAAGCGUGGGGAGCGAACAGGCUUAGAUACCCUGGUAGUCCUCGCUGUAAACGGUGGGUACUAGGUGUGAGGUCCGUUCCACGGGUUCCGUGCCGUAGCUAACGCUUUAAGUACCCCGCCUGGGGAGUACGG
Molecule: ribosomal RNA, 643 nt
Filed under: uncultured bacterium
Lineage: Bacteria
Description: bacterial SSU rRNA
Rfam family: Bacterial small subunit ribosomal RNA
Source: RNAcentral